GCUUCAUGGUGUCAAGUGUGUUAGCAAAAUAUGCAAUAAUCAGAAGAAUAAAACAAAGAGUCAUUCUCGACAAUAAUGGCAUUUACUAAUGCAAACAUCUCAGUUUGGGGGGUUGAAAACUAGUGCCCCCAAGGUGAAAAUCUCAAAGAGUACCAGCGGUCCGGUGAGACCUGUCAGCCAGUCACCCAUCUUCUCCAGGCCCCCCAUCUUCUCCAGGCCCGAGUCCUCACUGGGUAGGUCCUCUGCUUUGGAGGUGAUCAACAGGGUGAUGGAGGACUCUAUUCAGCCCUCAUAGAGGCUCUACAUGUUCAGAGACCAGGACAAACAGACAGAGAGAGACCAUCCCAGGACUGGUGCAUCAUUUACAGACACAAGCGCUAUCUAAUCUUACCCUGGAGUUUGACUGUGGUGACCAAGAAGACCUCCCCAACACCCCAUCUCCAUCAGGGUCUCAGGUUCCAGGAUCCAGGCCCCUGUUUUUCCACUGGGGGUUUGAGACCAGAGGAGAGGGAAGAAGAGGAGGAGUAUGACGAAGAAGCCAGUGAGGUCCACAGGAUGAUGGUUUAGACCAGAGCUGUGAUCUCACUCCUGCUGACCCCCUACUGAACAGUACUGUACACAGCAGCGUCAGUCUACGCCUCUCACAAGGCUCCCUAGAGAGACUAGACAUCACCAACACGGAGGAAGAGGAGAGGAGCUCGGGUCUAUCUGAGGGGCCAGCUUAUGAUAUGGUUCUAGAGUAUUUGGCUUGCCAGUACCCGAUAUCGUGAGAUAGACUGUGGAUGCCUGACAACCUGCAGCAGAGCCCCCCUGAACCCAGACAGUGAGUGGGAUCUGGGAGGUAGUGUGAGUUUGGCUUGUCUCCUGCUCCUCUGUUGUCAAGACCCAGUCCCAGAGCAUCAUAGACCCUCACCACAUCCCAGAGGACAGUGAGACCAGAGACAGACAGUGGGUUUGGGAGCUCUGAUCUGAGUCGCCCAGCCACAGGACGAUCCCAACCAAAACUUCAUACAGAAAGGCUCCAGUUCCAGUCUGAUGGGGCCUCCAGUCCUGUGAGAAUGAGUGACAGCGAAGGCUCCUGCUCCAACCUGCAGACCACUAUCCAUCUGACUGGGGAUAUUGGAGAGAGGAGACCCAGUCUGCAGACCACUAUCCAUCUGACUGGAGAUAUUGGAGAGAGGAGACCCAGUCUGCAGACUACUAUCCAUCUGACUGGGGAUAUUGGAGAGAGGAGACCCAGUCUGCAGACUACUGUCUAUCUGACUGGGGAUAUUGGAGAGAGGAGACCCAGUCUGCAGACCACUAUCCAUCUGACUGGGGAUAUUGGAGAGAGGAGACCCAGUCUGCAGACUACUAUCCAUCUGACUGGAGAUAUUGGAGAGAGGAGACCCAGUCUGCAGACCACUAUCCAUCUGACUGGGGAUAUUGGAGAGAGGAGACCCAGUCUGCAGACUACUGUCUAUCUGACUGGGGAUAUUGGAGAGAGGAGACCCAGUCUGCAGACCACUAUCCAUCUGACUGGAGAUAUUGGAGAGAGGAGACCCAGUCUGCAGAUGCCUCCUCAGUUGUGCAGGACUGCAGUGGACUACUGGCUGACCAGACCUACUCAGAGUGUACCUGUUAAACUGCAUGUGAGGCGAUGCAGGUCCUACAUUCGGAGGUGUCCCAACUGAGGAGAGACCUGGAAGAGGGUCUGGUCCAGCUGCCUCACCUCUCCCAGAGGAUGGACUACCUUACCUCCAGAUACAGACAGAACAGAAGGCUUAAAACCUCUCCCAGAGGAUGGACUACCUUACCUCCAGAUACAGACAGAACAGAAGGCUUAUAACCUCUCCCAGAGGAUGGACUACCUUACCUCCAGAUACAGACAGAACAGAAGGCUUAAAACCUCUCCCAGAGGAUGGACUACCUUACCUCCAGAUACAGACAGAACAGAAGGCUUAAAACCUCUCCCAGAGGAUGGACUACCUUACCUCCAGAUACAGACAGAACAGAAGGCUUAAAACCAAGCUGUUGAUUCCUGCUAGUGCCAAUGUGUAAUUUAGUAUUAGUUCGGUUUGCAUGUAAUUGAGAUAUUGCUUAUAUUAGCAUGUAAUGUUAGUCAUUGUAAAUGUAAUCUUGGUUAACCCAGAACUAAAGUCUUACGUUAUUGGUCAGAUGCUCAAUGAAGUUCUUGGUCCAUACAUGUUAAGAGAAGUGAUGAAGAGAUGCUAGAAUGAGGAGUGGAACCAGAGUGAGGAGCUCCACCCUCUCUCUUUGUAUAGACAGUGUGGAGUCGGACCGCUCUGAGAACAUGCUGCCAUUCCACAGUACACCACUAGGUGUCAGGAGAGGGAGCAGCAAGCCCUACUCCUGCUAGGACAGACCAGGGAAAACCCAAAGCAAAAAACCCUCCAAUACAGUUUGCAGAAUUUGCCUUAAAGUUAUCUUCGGUGGUCCUGAAGGUAGUUGUGUGUGCUUCUCCAUCCAUCUUACCAUCCGAGAACUGUUCUCUGGAGACCUCCAAUCUCACCCACUCCAGUCCUCCAGCAUUCCAGCACUCAUACAAGAACCCAAGCUACAGAUCUCCAUGUAAGGACCAGCAACCAGUCCACUCCUGCCCAUAUGACACUGUCAUGACUGGGCCUCAUCAUGACUACUUUAUUCAUUUCAUUAUCACGUCACAAUUUAAAGAUGCACUAUGCAGAAAUCAAAGGCCAAGGAGAAGAA
Molecule: long non-coding RNA, 2709 nt
Filed under: Salmo salar (Atlantic salmon)
Lineage: Eukaryota; Metazoa; Chordata; Actinopteri; Salmoniformes; Salmonidae
Description: lncRNA (ENSSSAG00000089415.1)
Source: RNAcentral